Sardina pilchardus (European sardine) is the source of this 2087-nucleotide long non-coding RNA. RefSeq lists it as uncharacterized. The record is from RefSeq and is a predicted model, not a curated record. The transcript has 4 exons. Lineage: Eukaryota; Metazoa; Chordata; Actinopteri; Clupeiformes; Clupeidae.
CUGACUCGCUGUGGGGAUUAUCAAAGCGACCGUACGGAAUCUGGGUGAGGAGCCGCGGUCACAGUCCAGAACAGGGACGGCUGAUAUCUUCACGGCUGAAGUUGCAGCAGUCACACACAGCGGAGCAUCUUGGCUGUAGCCUAUCAGUUCUGGUCGUUACCGCUGUCCGAACGCACGUGAGAGGACUUGUCAUUCCUGUCUACAGGUGGAACACUUUUGAAAGCUAUCUAAAAGCAGUGCAAGGGCAAUGUGUGAAAGUCCGUUGAGUCAAGCUCAGGAGAACAGGAGAUCCAUCCGAGGGCUGUUUGUGUGUGCGUGUGCAUUCGCCCAUCUCGAGACCGCCCCUGUCCAUUACCCCUGAGAGUCCGAAGCUCUUAACGACGUCGAAAGUUGCCUACUUCAAGAGGAAGUAUGCGGAGGAGGAGGAUAUUCAUGGCAGCCUACACGGAUAUUUACAAAAACACCUGAUACUUCGUGAGGAGCGCAGCUGUAUCCUGCGCCUAUCCCUGGAGAAGCUGCGUUUCCUGGACGACCCCGAGGCCUACCUUCGCCGCUCCGUCCUCAUCAACAACCUGCUGCGCAAGAUCCACCAUGACGAGAGCGAGCACGAGCCGGAGGAGAAGGAGGAGCACGAGGACCAGGAGGAGCGGGACACCCAGAAACUGUUCUGCUCCGGCAGGAAGAGACUGAAGGUCCUGGUGACGUCUGAGUGCGACACGCAGGACUUUAGCUACGCAGAGGUGCCCCAGUACAGGCUGGUGUCGUACGCCUCGUCCCCGAGUGUGAUGUGCCUCUGUGGGCUUGGCGGCUGUCCCGCCCUGGCCUCCAGCCAUGGAGCUCCAGUUCUGGUAUACGACUUGGACGAUCAUGGGUGAAUGAGAUGGUUGAAGAUCUUGGCUUAAGGAAUAAUAAUUAAAACAAACAAAAAAAAAAGAGUUCAGUCAUCUGAGUGCACUGUAGAUGACUGUGUUGACAGGGUGUUGUGUGCCAGGGCUGGUCGAGGCGAAAAUGCUGUAUGUUGCUUGUGCUUGGAAGCUGAGAGCCAGCUGUGGAGUAUGAACCAUGGCUACUGUAUAGCUGUCUCUGGGGAAGACCCUCCUCCAGAACCUCAACCAGUAUCAGGGUCUGCUUUUCAUCUCUCUCUCUCUCUCUCUCUCUCUCUCUCUCUCUCUCUCUCUCUCUCUCUCUCUCUCUCUCCAUCUAUCGCUCUGUCUAUCUCUGUGUCUGUUACUUUAGCAUAAUGUGUCUGUCAAAAGAAUGACUUAACUGUUGUGGUUUCAAAGCCUUUCUGUAUGAGUAUGAUUUUGUUUUGCUGAUGUGAGCUACAAUGCUUGUGUUUUUCAGGGAUAUGAACUCUAAAGAAGCCAUGCACCUUUUUUGUAAACAUAUUACAUUAUGUAUAGCCUACAUAAUGUCAAACCAGGGUCUAAAGGAAGCGCUUUAUUUUGUCCCAAGAUAGUGACAUGUUAUCUUUGAAUGUAAAAUCAAUUAAAAAAAAAAAAACACUGACUAAAACGGAAUGAGACAGAAUGGACAGUGGAGUUUAACAGAGGCACUAAGUAGCCUACUGGCAUUGUAAAAAUGGACAAGGACACAAAUACAAACUUGUUGAACCUCAGCACUCAACUCUCCGCUUAGCAGCAUUCUACUGCCCCCUAUUGUUCAGACCUCUGACAGACUACGCCAAUCUUUGUAGACUGUUCAACAGCAGGCUAAAAUCAUCAGACUCACUGUAGUGCAACGUGAGCUAGACACAUCUAUCUCAGAGACUCACUUCUUUUUAAUGUAUGUGGCAAAUUUUAUGUUCUUUGUAAACUGCUUUGGAGCCACGGAGAUGUGCAAUGGAUUUAUCCAUUUCUGGGUAUAUGUGCCAAGUCUAACAGGCUGAAUGAAUACCAAUCAUGACCUAAUAAUUUGGGACUCUAUGGAGUAGCCAGUACUCCGUAGGCCUACUUAAGAUGUUGUGGUGUGUCCCAAUUACAUACAGACUUUUCAAACAACGUAUUUUCUGUCAUUAUUCAGGGCCUAUUUCAGUUUGAUUUCAUUUGAAUUAUUUUUUUUUUGAAUAAACACCAUGUUUGCCAAAU